This 513-nucleotide ribosomal RNA is filed under the name uncultured Ilumatobacter sp. RNAcentral's name for it is "bacterial SSU rRNA". It matches the Rfam family "Bacterial small subunit ribosomal RNA", at positions 87 to 618 of the family's 1533-position model. The record is from RNAcentral. Lineage: Bacteria; Bacillati; Actinomycetota; Acidimicrobiia; Acidimicrobiales; Ilumatobacteraceae.
ACUGAUUAGUGGCGAACGGGUGAGGAACACGUGAGAAACCUGCCUCGGAUUUUGGGAUAACAAAUGGAAACGUUUGCUAAUACCAAAUAACGUCGGAGAGCCUCAUGGCUUUCUGACGAAAGGAAUUCCGAUUCGAGAGGGUCUCGCGGCCUAUCAGCUAGUUGGCGGGGUAAUGGCCCACCAAGGCAACGACGGGUAGCUGGUCUGAGAGGAUGGUCAGCCACACUGGGACUGAGACACGGCCCAGACUCCUACGGGAGGCAGCAGUGGGGAAUCUUGCGCAAUGGGCGAAAGCCUGACGCAGCAACGCCGCGUGCGGGAAGAAGGCUUUCGGGCUGUAAACCGCUUUCAGCAGGAACGAAAAUGACGGUACCUGCAGAAGAAGGAGCGGCCAACUAUGUGCCAGCAGCCGCGGUGAUACAUAGGCUUCAAGCGUUGUCCGGAUUUAUUGGGCGUAAAGAGUUCGUAGGCGGUCAAGUAAGUCGGGUGUGAAAAUUCUGGGCUCAACCCAGA